Long non-coding RNA from Pogoniulus pusillus (Red-fronted tinkerbird), 403 nucleotides. RefSeq lists it as uncharacterized. NCBI's taxonomy places the organism in Eukaryota, Metazoa, Chordata, Aves, Piciformes, Lybiidae. The transcript is spliced from 2 exons. The record is from RefSeq and is a predicted model, not a curated record.
AGCUUGGCCACUAUAGGAAAGAGAAGAUCCUUUAAGCAGAGACGCUGGUGCCAAGCCCACUCCUGAGACCCUACCUGGAGGCAUUCAGCUCAGUCCUGAAGGAGUAACAGGGCGAAUACAAUAAUGCAAGAACCUCCUCCCAUAUGCCAUUAAAACCUUUCUUUAGGACACUGAAAUCAAUAAUUUCAGCAUUUCUUGCGAUGAGUAAAGCUUUGGGGAAAUAUUUUCACUGCAUAUGAAGGAAGACAUGCAUCUGUGCCUUUAAAGGGUGAGGCAGACCCAAAAUAUCACCAUGUGGCUUGCAAGGAAAAGCCUGCAACUUCUCCCUGGUGUGUGCUUGUGUUCACCAGAUUCAUCAAAUCUAAAAUAAAUGAUGAUUUCCCAGGCUAUUGUGUUUAACAAA